GUGAGUUUCUGUUGCUAAUGGCUUUGA
RNAcentral lists this non-coding RNA (27 nucleotides) under Cricetulus griseus (Chinese hamster). Lineage: Eukaryota; Metazoa; Chordata; Mammalia; Rodentia; Cricetidae. The record is from RNAcentral.